RNAcentral lists this non-coding RNA (48 nucleotides) under Afipia sp. P52-10. RNAcentral's name for it is "Guanidine-II riboswitch aptamer (mini-ykkC)". It matches the Rfam family "Guanidine-II riboswitch aptamer (mini-ykkC)". Rfam says of the family: Simpler in structure and has fewer highly conserved nucleotide positions than the ykkC-yxkD leader. Despite this each of its two stem-loop structures directly bind free guanidine. The record is from Rfam by way of RNAcentral. Lineage: Bacteria; Pseudomonadati; Pseudomonadota; Alphaproteobacteria; Hyphomicrobiales; Nitrobacteraceae. RNAcentral also lists the same sequence under 1 other name.
UGGACGGGACGACCCGGCCGCGAGGGAGCACAUGCCGGGACGACCCGG